CGCGGCCUAUCAGCUUGUUGGUGAGGUAACGGCUCACCAAGGCAAUGACGGGUAGCUGGUCUGAGAGGACGAUCAGCCACACUGGAACUGAGAUACGGUCCAGACUCCUACGGGAGGCAGCAGGAGGGAAUCUUGCGCAAUGGGCGAAAGCCUGACGCAGCGACGCCGCGUGGGGGAUGAAUGCCUUAGGGUUGUAAACCCCUUUCACGAGGGAAGAAACUGACGGUACCUCGAGAAGAAGCCCCGGCCAACUACGUGCCAGCAGCCGCGGUAAUACGUAGGGGGCGAGCGUUGUCCGGAUUUAUUGGGCGUAAAGGGCUCGUAGGCGGCUUGGCAAGUCGGCCGUGAAAACCCAGGGCUCAACCCUGGGACGCCGGUCGAUACUGCCAUGGCUAGGGUCCGGUAGAGGGGAAUGGAAUUCCCGGUGUAGCGGUGAAAUGCGCAGAUAUCGGGAGGAACACCAGUAGCGAAGGCGGUUCCCUGGGCCGGCACCGACGCUGAGGAGCGAAAGCGUGGGGAGCAAACAGGAUUAGAUACCCUGGUAGUCCACGCCGUAAACGUUGGGUACUAGGCGUGGCGUCUUAUCAACGGAUGCCGUGCUCGAAGCUAACGCGUUAAGUACCCCGCCUGGGGAGUACGG
This 640-nucleotide ribosomal RNA is filed under the name uncultured bacterium. RNAcentral's name for it is "bacterial SSU rRNA". It matches the Rfam family "Bacterial small subunit ribosomal RNA", at positions 232 to 885 of the family's 1533-position model. The record is from RNAcentral.